Molecule: non-coding RNA, 166 nt
Filed under: chicken gut metagenome
Description: Lysine riboswitch
Rfam family: Lysine riboswitch aptamer
About the family: Riboswitches are metabolite binding domains within certain messenger RNAs that serve as precision sensors for their corresponding targets. Allosteric rearrangement of mRNA structure is mediated by ligand binding, and this results in modulation of gene expression. This family includes riboswitches that sense lysine in a number of genes involved in lysine metabolism, including lysC.
Source: RNAcentral
GAAAGAGGUUGCGAUUUUUAUUAGUAGUAAUUUAAGUCAUACAGAUUAUUGUUAAAUUAUGAAAGGAAAUGUCGCCGAAGUUAAGGGAGAAGUAUCUGUAUUCUUUCUUUUCUGGGGAAUUAUAGAAUAUAUAAUUCACUGUCGUAUUGGAAAAUACGGAGCGCUU